RNAcentral lists this ribosomal RNA (318 nucleotides) under Triticum aestivum (bread wheat). Its description in RNAcentral is "partial small subunit ribosomal RNA". Lineage: Eukaryota; Viridiplantae; Streptophyta; Magnoliopsida; Poales; Poaceae. The record is from RNAcentral.
GAAGCAGGGUCGGCCCCGGGGCCGGAUGGCUUGCCGGUGGUAUUCUUCCAGAAAUUCUGGAACAUACCGAAGCUAGUAAUUAUGCCAAUGUUUCAUGAGGUCUACAUUGGAACUUUUGACAUGUCCCGUAUAAACUAUAGGGUUAUCACCCUUAUCCCCAAAGUAGUUGGCGCUAGAGAUAUCUGCCACUUUCGUUCUAUCACGGUGAGUAAUGUGCUCGAGCGCAUUUUCUCAAAAGUGUGCGCGAACCGUCUAGCCCCUGUAGCAGAGCGCUUGGAUCACCCCCGACAGACGGCUUUUCUGAAAGAUUGUUCAUGA